Molecule: ribosomal RNA, 512 nt
Filed under: uncultured bacterium
Lineage: Bacteria
Description: bacterial SSU rRNA
Rfam family: Bacterial small subunit ribosomal RNA
Source: RNAcentral
UUUCCAGAGAUGGAUUGGUGCCUUCGGGAACUCUGAGACAGGUGCUGCAUGGCUGUCGUCAGCUCGUGUUGUGAAAUGUUGGGUUAAGUCCCGCAACGAGCGCAACCCUUAUCCUUUGUUGCCAGCGGUUAGGCCGGGAACUCAAAGGAGACUGCCAGUGAUAAACUGGAGGAAGGUGGGGAUGACGUCAAGUCAUCAUGGCCCUUACGAGUAGGGCUACACACGUGCUACAAUGGCGCAUACAAAGAGAAGCGACCUCGCGAGAGCAAGCGGACCUCAUAAAGUGCGCCGUAGUCCGGAUUGGAGUCUGCAACUCGACUCCAUGAAGUCGGAAUCGCUAGUAAUCGUGGAUCAGAAUGCCACGGUGAAUACGUUCCCGGGCCUUGUACACACCGCCCGUCACACCAUGGGAGUGGGUUGCAAAAGAAGUAGGUAGCUUAACCUUCGGGAGGGCGCUUACCACUUUGUGAUUCAUGACUGGGGUGAAGUCGUAACAAGGUAAGCGUAGUGCU